RNAcentral lists this ribosomal RNA (442 nucleotides) under uncultured bacterium. Its description in RNAcentral is "partial 16S ribosomal RNA". It matches the Rfam family "Bacterial small subunit ribosomal RNA", at positions 338 to 795 of the family's 1533-position model. The record is from RNAcentral.
CCUACGGGUGGCAGCAGUGGGGGAUAUUGCACAAUGGGGGAAACCCUGAUGCAGCGACGCCGCGUGGGCGAAGAAGGAUUUCGGUAUGUAAAGUCCUAUCAGCAGGGAAGAAGAAAUGACGGUACCUGAGUAAGAAGCACCGGCUAAACACGUGCCAGCAGCCGCGGUAAUACGGUGGGUGCAAGCGUUAACCGGAUUUACUGGGGGUAAAGGGAGGGCAGGCGGCAGGGCAAGCCAGAGGUGAAAGCCCGGGGCCCAACCGCGGGACUGCAUUUGGAACUACCGGGCUGGAGUGCCGGAGAGGUAGGCGGAAUUCCUGGUGUAGCGGUGAAAUGCGUAGAUAUUAGGAGGAACACCAGUGGCGAAGGCGGCCUACUGGACAGUAACUGACGCUGAGGCUCGAAAGCGUGGGGAGCAAACAGGAUUAGAUACCCGAGUAGUC